Molecule: ribosomal RNA, 402 nt
Filed under: uncultured prokaryote
Description: bacterial SSU rRNA
Rfam family: Bacterial small subunit ribosomal RNA
Source: RNAcentral
UGGGGAAUAUUGCACAAUGGGCGAAAGCCUGAUGCAGCAACGCCGCGUGAGCGAUGAAGGCCUUCGGGUCGUAAAGCUCUGUCCUCAAGGAAGAUAAUGACGGUACUUGAGGAGGAAGCCCCGGCUAACUACGUGCCAGCAGCCGCGGUAAUACGUAGGGGGCUAGCGUUAUCCGGAAUUACUGGGCGUAAAGCGCGUGUAGGCGGUUCGUUAAGUCAGAUGUGAAAGCCUUGGGCUCACCCCAAGAAGUGCAUUUGAUACUGCUAUUCUAGAGUUCGGGAGAGGGAGGCAGAAUUCCAGGUGUAGAGGUGAAAUCCGUAGAUAUCUGGAGGAAUACCGGAGGCGAAGGCGGCCUCCUGGACCGAUACUGACACUGAAACACGAAAGCGUGGGGAGCAAACA